UACAGAGGUCUCAAGCGUUGUUCGGAUUCAUUGGGCGUAAAGGGUGCGUAGGUGGCGAGGUAAGUCUGGUGUGAAAUCCCCGGGCUCAACCUGGGAAUUGCAUUCGAUACUGGAUGGCUAGAGUUCGGCAGAGGGAAGCGGAAUUUCCGGUGUAGCGGUGAAAUGCGUAGAUAUCGGAAGGAACAUCAGUGGCGAAAACGGCUUCCUGGACCAGAACUGACGAUAAGGCACGAAAGCGUGGGGAGCAAACAGG
RNAcentral lists this ribosomal RNA (253 nucleotides) under uncultured bacterium. RNAcentral's name for it is "partial 16S ribosomal RNA". It matches the Rfam family "Bacterial small subunit ribosomal RNA", at positions 524 to 776 of the family's 1533-position model. The record is from RNAcentral.